CUGUACUUUGUGUAUGCCGACAUGCUGUAAUUUGUUAGUACUUCAAGAUCAAUAAUGGAAAAUUGUAUCCAAACUGAAGUAUAAUUUGACGAGCCUGGUUGCUGUAGCCACAGGGGAAUUUUCAAGGACAAGAACCAGUGCUGGUAAAAAUGUGGUCUCAUGUGGUUUUCCAUACCGGCAUUCAGCAAGGAUUUCAGAGAAAGGAAUACUGUCUCCAAAUCAUGAUGUGCCAAUAAGCUCCAGUUAGCUGUGCCUUUUUCCUCCCACCGGUAGUCCUUCAAUCUGAAUCCAGGAGAUGCAGCUCUGAAUCCAAUAUUUCAGAA
This is a long non-coding RNA of Mya arenaria, 323 nucleotides long. RefSeq lists it as uncharacterized. Lineage: Eukaryota; Metazoa; Mollusca; Bivalvia; Myida; Myidae. The transcript has 3 exons. The record is from RefSeq and is a predicted model, not a curated record.